RNAcentral lists this ribosomal RNA (606 nucleotides) under Globigerinoides ruber albus. RNAcentral's name for it is "partial small subunit ribosomal RNA". The stretch from base 1 to 539 matches the Rfam family "Eukaryotic small subunit ribosomal RNA", at positions 1293 to 1605 of the family's 1831-position model. The record is from RNAcentral. Lineage: Eukaryota; Foraminifera; Rotaliida; Globigerinidae.
CUUAGUUCGUGGAGUGAUCUGUCUGCUUAAUUGCGUUUCAAAAUUUAACUUGAGGACCGGGUUUUGGUUUGGCUAGUGGUUCUACGAUGACUGUGAACUGUCAUGUCUUCGGAUGUGCGACUAUUGGUCUAGGAUCACAUGACUUGCCCCUGGGACUCUUUUGAACGCAACGGACGUGAUUGCAACCCCUUGUUGAGAUUAGAGAUAGUCUCGAUAUUCACUGGACAAACUGGCUGCUUUAUGCAGUCUUGUUGAAUGGUGGAUAAACUCGGGGGACUGCUGACUAUAACCAUUUCUCAAAACAGAGGAAGGUUGCGGCAAUAACAGGUCUGUGAUGCCCUCAGAUGUCCCGGGCUGCACACGUGCUACAAUGAGUGGCGCAAUGUGCUAAUGUUUAAGGGAUAAGAGUGUGGUCAGUAGAACGUCGGGAUUUCCCCUGACGUCUCCCCCGCACGAUUAUCAGCCUUCCCUUAACAGGGCGGGCAACCUUUUCAAAAUACUGGUUUGAUGUUAAAGUAUUGAGUCGUUUUUUUUGGAUGGUGGUUUGUUAACCAAUACCAUCCGGCAACUGCUCGCGAGUUUGUGGUUCUGGCGACUCAUGGUGGG